GAAUUUGGGAGGGAGCAUAGGCAUCAAGGAGUCCGAUUUAAAAAAAAAACAAAAAGUGACAGCUCAAGAGAUGAUACUGAUUGAAAUAUAAAGCUACAUUGUUCACCUUAAAGGCUGUGCUGUUGUUCUUGAAAAGUAUUAAACAGGAAAUCCCAAGCUAAAAGCCAACUCAGGUUUUGCAAGCUGGAUUCAUGGGGGGGAAAAAAACAACCAUGGACAUGCCCAAAUGGAGAAGUCUAUCAUCAAGCGAUAUCGACAUUUGAGGAGAACAGCAUCAAGUGACUACUGGACAAGCAAGUGUGGCGCAAACUCAGUGCCUCCACCCAUCCUUCCAAAACUGACUUCAUAUGUAGUAUUUGCAAUUGGUUAUGCAAAUCAAGAUUUGGCCUACCAACCUAAACUAUAAAGUCUUUUUUACCUUCUUCUCUUGCUGAACAUUCAUCUGUCGACGGGACAAUGCAUCUGUCACUAUCUAUAUUCAAUAUAAGCUCAGGAUGACCACAAGUUUAUGGGUGACAUUGCUCCAGGUUUGACGAUGCUUCAAGUA
Long non-coding RNA from Carcharodon carcharias (great white shark), 547 nucleotides. RefSeq lists it as uncharacterized. The transcript has 3 exons. The record is from RefSeq and is a predicted model, not a curated record. NCBI's taxonomy places the organism in Eukaryota, Metazoa, Chordata, Chondrichthyes, Lamniformes, Lamnidae.